CUUUUAAAGGAUAACAGCUAACCCAUUGGUCCUAGGAACCACCCAUC
Molecule: transfer RNA, 47 nt
Filed under: Phaethornis syrmatophorus
Lineage: Eukaryota; Metazoa; Chordata; Aves; Apodiformes; Trochilidae
Description: partial tRNA-Leu
Source: RNAcentral